This 206-nucleotide ribosomal RNA is filed under the name uncultured bacterium. RNAcentral describes it as "partial 16S ribosomal RNA". It matches the Rfam family "Bacterial small subunit ribosomal RNA", at positions 568 to 774 of the family's 1533-position model. The record is from RNAcentral.
CGCGUAGGCGGUCUCGUAAGUCCGAUGUUAAAGAGCGGGGCUCAACCCGUCACGGCGUUGGAUACUGCGAGGCUUGACGGCUGGAGAGGUGAGUGGAAUUACCAGUGUAGCGGUGGAAUGCGUAGAUACUGGUAGGAACACCCAUUGCGAAGGCAGCUCACUGGACAGCACGUGACGCUGAGGCGCGAAAGUGUGGGGAGCAAACC